GUGUUCGCUUCAGCAGCACAUAUACUAAAAUUGGAAUGAUACAGAGAAGAUUAGCAUGGCUUCUGUGCAAGGAUGACAUGGAAAUUCAUGAAGCAUUCCAUAUUUUU
RNAcentral lists this small nuclear RNA (107 nucleotides) under Chinchilla lanigera (long-tailed chinchilla). The record is from RNAcentral. Lineage: Eukaryota; Metazoa; Chordata; Mammalia; Rodentia; Chinchillidae.